This 1000-nucleotide ribosomal RNA is filed under the name uncultured bacterium. RNAcentral describes it as "bacterial SSU rRNA". It matches the Rfam family "Bacterial small subunit ribosomal RNA", at positions 28 to 1018 of the family's 1533-position model. The record is from RNAcentral.
AUUGAACGCUGGCGGCAGGCUUAACACAUGCAAGUCGAGCGGAAACGAUGGUAGCUUGCUACCAGGCGUCGAGCGGCGGACGGGUGAGUAAUACUUAGGAAUCUACCUAGUAGUGGGGGAUAGCACGGGGAAACUCGUAUUAAUACCGCAUACGACCUACGGGAGAAAGGGGGCAGUUUACUGCUCUCGCUAUUAGAUGAGCCUAAGUCGGAUUAGCUAGAUGGUGGGGUAAGGGCCUACCAUGGCGACGAUCUGUAGCUGGUCUGAGAGGAUGAUCAGCCACACCGGGACUGAGACACGGCCCGGACUCCUACGGGAGGCAGCAGUGGGGAAUAUUGGACAAUGGGGGAAACCCUGAUCCAGCCAUGCCGCGUGUGUGAAGAAGGCCUUUUGGUUGUAAAGCACUUUAAGCAGUGAAGAAGACUCUUCGGUUAAUACCCGGAGACGAUGACAUUAGCUGCAGAAUAAGCACCGGCCAACUCUGUGCCAGCAGCCGCGGUAAUACAGAGGGUGCAAGCGUUAAUCGGAAUUACUGGGCGUAAAGCGAGCGUAGGUGGCUUGAUAAGUCAGAUGUGAAAUCCCCGGGCUUAACCUGGGAACUGCAUCUGAAACUGUUAGGCUAGAGUAGGUGAGAGGGAAGUAGAAUUUCAGGUGUAGCGGUGAAAUGCGUAGAGAUCUGAAGGAAUACCGAUGGCGAAGGCAGCUUCCUGGCAUCAUACUGACACUGAGGCUCGAAAGCGUGGGUAGCAAACAGGAUUAGAUACCCUGGUAGUCCACGCCGUAAACGAUGUCUACUAGUCGUUGGGUCCCUUGAGGACUUAGUGACGCAGCUAACGCAAUAAGUAGACCGCCUGGGGAGUACGGCCGCAAGGUUAAAACUCAAAUGAAUUGACGGGGGCUCACACAAGCGGUGGAGCAUGUGGCUUAAUUCGAAGCAACGCGAAGAACCUUAUCCUAGGCUUGACAUGUACGUAUUAACUCCCCGAAAAGGGAGCCACUC